UACGUAGGGUGCGAGCGUUGUCCGGAAUUAUUGGGCGUAAAGGGCUCGUAGGCGGUUUGUCACGUCGGGAGUGAAAACUCAGGGCUCAACCCUGAGCCUGCUUCCGAUACGGGCAGACUAGAGGUAUGCAGGGGAGAACGGAAUUCCUGGUGUAGCGGUGAAAUGCGCAGAUAUCAGGAGGAACACCGGUGGCGAAGGCGGUUCUCUGGGCAUUACCUGACGCUGAGGAGCGAAAGUGUGGGGAUCAAACAGG
RNAcentral lists this ribosomal RNA (253 nucleotides) under uncultured bacterium. Its description in RNAcentral is "partial 16S ribosomal RNA". It matches the Rfam family "Bacterial small subunit ribosomal RNA", at positions 524 to 776 of the family's 1533-position model. The record is from RNAcentral.